Molecule: long non-coding RNA, 866 nt
Organism: Lolium perenne
Lineage: Eukaryota; Viridiplantae; Streptophyta; Magnoliopsida; Poales; Poaceae
Source: RefSeq, a predicted model, not a curated record
GCUUGCAAGCUCGGACGAUGUCGUUCGCGAACGGUGGCGCUCGUAAUUCCAUCCGCCCCACGGCCUCGUGCGACUCCGCGAGAUCCAGAUCUGGGCGGUAGCUGUCGUCCGCCGCGGGCUCCCUCAUGGUCGCGUUCGCCUUCGCUACCUUGAUAAGUCGAUGUCAGGGGCGCGUCGUCACCAUGAUUCAGAAUCUGCAGGCCGUCACCAUGCACCAGGAUCUCGCCACCGUGCUCCGUGGAUCACCAACAUCGACUGAUGAUCACAGAUUCACAUGUGUCCUAAAAGAAGGCAGACGAUGGUCUAUUCUGCUACAAUUAUAGAGCAAAUUGAUGAACAUAUGAAACUUUCGCUAAACAAACAAACUUCGUCUUGAAGCCGAUCCAUCGCUGAACCGCCCUGCUGUUGCUGCAACAUUGACUGAAGAGGUAGUUAGAAUAAGAUGACCAUGUCAACCAAAUCAAGCUGUUCUGCUUGCUUUCCGUUUGAAGACAUUCAAGGAAAGAGUAAUCAUUUUUAGGAUGAGCAGUGAGCUGUAGUUGAACAAUCUGGAGCUGGGGAACUUCAACGACAAGAUCAAGAAGAACUAGAUGAGACUUCACUAUGCGCAGCCCGGGCCCUCCUUCUGUCAACCCCUGUUCUAUCGCCCUACUGGCAAGCAACAAGGAAAUCAUUCAGGAUGUGAACGGGGGUUUGGAGAUAGCUGUUGUGACAAAGGAUGGGAAGAUGCGUGAAGAUGGUGCACUGCAGUUUUUAGUUGAUAAGGUCAUCAUCUUUUGAUGCCUGUGUGUAUAUAACUGUUCUUGGUUUCUGCUGUAACUUAAUGUGUGAUGUCGCUACUAAUUUUCUGUAUAUAUUGAAUGAAU